GUCAGCUCGUGUCGUGAGAUGUUGGGUUAAGUCCCGCAACGAGCGCAACCCUUGUCAUUAGUUGCUACAUUUAGUUGGGCACUCUAAUGAGACUGCCGGUGACAAACCGGAGGAAGGUGGGGAUGACGUCAAGUCCUCAUGGCCCUUAUAGGUAGGGCUACACACGUCAUACAAUGGAUGGUACAAAGGGUCGCCAACCCGCAGGGGGAGCCAAUCCCAUAAAACCAUUCGUAGUCCGGAUCGCAGUCUGCAACUCGACUGCGUGAAGUCGGAAUCGCUAGUAAUCGUGGAUCAGAAUGUCACAGUGAAUACGUUCCCGGGUCCUU
This 326-nucleotide ribosomal RNA is filed under the name uncultured Polaromonas sp. RNAcentral's name for it is "bacterial SSU rRNA". It matches the Rfam family "Bacterial small subunit ribosomal RNA", at positions 1054 to 1382 of the family's 1533-position model. The record is from RNAcentral. Lineage: Bacteria; Pseudomonadati; Pseudomonadota; Betaproteobacteria; Burkholderiales; Comamonadaceae.